AGGGGAACAGCUCUCAUAGGAAUACACUCUUCUGAAACCAACUGUGAGUUCGAGGUGUUCCCAAAACCACCCUUUUAUACUACAGCAUCUCUGAACUCUACAAUGGCUCCCAAACACACUGUACUUUUUUCCACUCUUUGUUUCUGAUCUGUCUGUCCACGCAUUCUCAAAUGCUGUAUCAGCCAGAGUACCAACUGGGAAAUUGUAGCACACCCAAAAUGUUGUCCAAAGGGA
This 234-nucleotide long non-coding RNA is filed under the name Pan troglodytes (chimpanzee). Its description in RNAcentral is "long non-coding RNA NONPTRT017375". The record is from RNAcentral. Lineage: Eukaryota; Metazoa; Chordata; Mammalia; Primates; Hominidae.